CUACGGGAGGCAGCAGUGAGGAAUAUUGCACAAUGGGGGGAACCCUGAUGCAGCAACGCCGCGUGGAGGAUGACGCAUUUCGGUGUGUAAACUCCUUUUAUAUGUCAAGAAAAUGACGGUAGCAUAUGAAUAAGCACCGGCUAACUCCGUGCCAGCAGCCGCGGUAAUACGGAGGGUGCAAGCGUUACUCGGAAUCACUGGGCGUAAAGGACGCGUAGGCGGGUUGGAAAGUCAGGUGUGAAAUCCUACAGCUUAACUGUAGAACUGCACUUGAAACUUCUAAUCUAGAGUAUGGGAGGGGGAGAUGGAAUUAGUGGUGUAGGGGUAAAAUCCGUAGAUAUCACUAGGAAUACCUAAAGCGAAGGCGAUCUCCUGGAACAUUACUGACACUAAGGCGUGAAAGCGUGGGGAGCAAACGGGAUUAGAUACCCCCGUAGUC
RNAcentral lists this ribosomal RNA (439 nucleotides) under uncultured bacterium. Its description in RNAcentral is "partial 16S ribosomal RNA". It matches the Rfam family "Bacterial small subunit ribosomal RNA", at positions 339 to 795 of the family's 1533-position model. The record is from RNAcentral.